This 479-nucleotide small RNA is filed under the name Spisula solidissima (Atlantic surf clam). RNAcentral describes it as "cnRNA139". Lineage: Eukaryota; Metazoa; Mollusca; Bivalvia; Venerida; Mactridae. The record is from RNAcentral.
AACCUAUCUAGAGCAACAACCUCUGUACAACAACCACACUUUGUGUUUCCCAUUGGGUGUUGCUCUAGAUAGGUUGUAUUGUGCAGUUAUCCGAGGCCCUAUGUUAUACUCACCAAGUACAGCAAUACUAAGCCCCAAGGGGUACUCCCACCCACCAAAUAAACACAUAAUGGGCCACAUUGGGUACUCACCACAAACAGCUAUAGGCAUGCCAUACACCAUAAGGGGUUCUGACAACCACUGAGUACAGCCAUAAGAGGCCAACAAAACACCAAUUACAGCCAUUCUUGACCCAGAACGGUUCGUACAGCCUCUGAAUAAAAACAGAAUAAAACAGAUCGGACAGGAAAAGCAGCACUCAUCAGGAAUAGCUAACAGAAAACACACAAAACAGGGGCACGAAAGGCCCAAAAAUGAAAACGACAGACCACAAGAACAAAACAACUUAGACACGUAAAGCAGCACCCGAUAGGAACCGC